AAAUUGUGUUAGUCCUAUGCCAAAUUUUGGUGGUAAAAUCCUGAAGACCACCACAUUUCGCGAACUCUGAUAAAUCUAUAGACAACACUGACUUUAGCUGACUAUCUUCCAUUUGUACUAUUUGAAUUUCAACAUUUUUUGUUGCAGGAAUUAAACUAGGGUAAGACAGGAGUUUUAAGAGUAUGCAGAUAGGGGGUUAACAGAAUAGAGAAAAAGAGCAAAAAAUAUAAAGAAGACAGAAAUGAGCAAAAAAAAUAAAGAAAAGAGAAUAACAAGUUGCUAAAAUAUAAAUACAUGUUAUAGAGGCGUACAAAUUAAAGAAUGCAGAAAUGAAUAACCCCCUAUCCACACCCUGAAUGGGGCAAUGACCCAG
Molecule: long non-coding RNA, 373 nt
Filed under: Mytilus galloprovincialis (Mediterranean mussel)
Lineage: Eukaryota; Metazoa; Mollusca; Bivalvia; Mytilida; Mytilidae
Source: RNAcentral